CUCUAGGAUCCCAGGCCUCGCCUAUGGCCGCCUAUCCCCUUCCUCCUCCUUCCUGUUCCAUCGCACAGUGCUGCAGCUGCUGCUAAUCCUUAACCUUUCGACUACUAGUCGGAGUCCUCGGCUCGACGCUGCUCGUAGUCGUAGCUCCAGCUGCUGCUGCGUGGACGGAGGAGGGUGGUUCCUGUUGCAGGCUCGCAAGUUGCAACUUGCAGUGUUGCACUGCUUCAGCAGCAGCUGCCUCAUUGCGUGCUGCAGUUAUUGCUACCGCUACUGUAUACGUAGAGACCGAGACGUCUUGCCAUUUGCUAAGCUCUGAUGGAGAGGAUGCAACUGCAAGGGCCCAUCGCCUCUUCGCUGUGGACGGACAAACAGCAGGUGGUGGCCAGCACCAGCGCCGCAAUGGCGGCGCAGAUGCCCUUCCUGGCGUUGCUCCAGGGCGCAGGCGUCGUGGUGGAGGGGGCGGAGACGGAGCAGCAGCAGUACGAGCACGAGCACGACGGGCGCAAGCGGCAGGCCUUGGCGCGCGCCGUCUCCAAACUCGACCUGCUCGAGAGCUGUCUCACGCAGGCGGCGGCUCCCGCGGCGGCGGCGUGUGCGCCAGUGGCCAGCAGGACGACCGAGAGGCGGAUGAAGCGGCCGAGGACCCGCGCGCGAGCCGCGCCACCGCCGGAGAAGCGCAGGAAGCCCGAGGAGGCCGAGAGCCAGCGGAUGACGCACAUCGCCGUGGAGCGCAACCGGCGGCGCCUCAUGAACGACCACCUGGCCUCGCUCCGCUCACUCAUCCCCUCCAGCUAUAUCCCCCGCGUGAGCCAUGCAAUGCAAAGCCCAUGCAUGCAUGCUGCGUUCCGUUUCGAUCUGACGACGCAACGGUUACAUGCAAUGCAAUGCAGGGCGACCAGGCUACGGUGGUGGGCGGUGCGAUCGACUACGUGAAGCAGCUGGAGCAGCAGCUAGUGGCGCUGCAGGCGGCCGCGGGCGCGCGGCGCGGCAGCAGUGUCGUGUCGGACGACGGCGUGUUCCUCGUGUCCCCGCAGUACGCGAGCUACUCGGGGUCGCGCGGCGGCGGCGGGCUCGGCGUGGACGUGGAGGCGACGGGCGCGGUGGGCGGGCACGUGCGCGUGCGCGUCGCGGGGAGGCGGUGGUGGCCCGGCCGGCUCGUGCGCGCCGUCGCCGCGCUGGAGGGCCUCCGCCUCGCGGUCUUGCACCUCGCCGUCACCUCCGUCGGGCGUGACGCCGUCGUGUGCUGCUUCAACCUCAAGAUGGAGGAAGGGUGCGAGGUGGCGACGGCGGACGAGGUGGCGACGGUGGUGCACCAGAUCUUCGCCUACUCCGCCGCCGGCGCAUGCUGCUGACGACGACGACUGACUGCGCCCCGCGCGCCGACGCCAGCGGCCGUGGAGCACGGGACGGGGACGGUAAGUCAAAGCCGCAGAGGCGGGCGGACAUGACGGCAUGUACACGAAACACGACGACGAACGCGCGCGCAGAGGCGGAGAGGACGACGUACGGCCGGCCGGCCCGGGCCACCAAGAGAGAAGGGCAUGCGUACGCAGAGGCGUGGAUCAGCGGCAGCGCUAGGCCGGGGACCAAGCAAGCAACCAUGGCAAGUGAUGUGCUUGCGGUGCCAUGCCAUGGCAACGGCUGCACUGCGUGCCGUGGUCCAGCGCAGCGCAGCGCCGGGUGGAGAGGAGCAGGAGACCAUCUACUGUAACUUGACUAGUGUUUACUUACUUGGCUGGGUGGCUGGCAGGACCAGUACUCCGGUGGUGAAGGGUACUGACGACUGUAGCUGGACUGGACUGAAGGCUGAAGAGAGCGUGGUACAGUACAGUACAGUAGCAGUGUUUGAAUAGCAUGGCUAUAUAUCUAUGUAGUUUUUUC
This is an RNA transcript of Zea mays, 1881 nucleotides long. It is a transcript of the gene named bHLH transcription factor pseudogene, with no coding region annotated. The transcript has 3 exons. NCBI's taxonomy places the organism in Eukaryota, Viridiplantae, Streptophyta, Magnoliopsida, Poales, Poaceae. The record is from RefSeq and is marked validated.